AAAUUGAAGAGUUUGAUCAUGGCUCAGAUUGAACGCUGGCGGCAGGCCUAACACAUGCAAGUCGAACGGUAGCACAGAGAGCUUGCUCUCGGGUGACGAGUGGCGGACGGGUGAGUAAUGUCUGGGAAACUGCCUGAUGGAGGGGGAUAACUACUGGAAACGGUAGCUAAUACCGCAUAACGUCGCAAGACCAAAGAGGGGGACCUUCGGGCCUCUUGCCAUCAGAUGUGCCCAGAUGGGAUUAGCUAGUAGGUGGGGUAACGGCUCACCUAGGCGACGAUCCCUAGCUGGUCUGAGAGGAUGACCAGCCACACUGGAACUGAGACACGGUCCAGACUCCUACGGGAGGCAGCAGUGGGGAAUAUUGCACAAUGGGCGCAAGCCUGAUGCAGCCAUGCCGCGUGUAUGAAGAAGGCCUUCGGGUUGUAAAGUACUUUCAGCGGGGAGGAAGGUGUUGUGGUUAAUAACCACAGCAAUUGACGUUACCCGCAGAAGAAGCACCGGCUAACUCCGUGCCAGCAGCCGCGGUAAUACGGAGGGUGCAAGCGUUAAUCGGAAUUACUGGGCGUAAAGCGCACGCAGGCGGUCUGUCAAGUCGGAUGUGAAAUCCCCGGGCUCAACCUGGGAACUGCAUUCGAAACUGGCAGGCUAGAGUCUUGUAGAGGGGGGUAGAAUUCCAGGUGUAGCGGUGAAAUGCGUAGAGAUCUGGAGGAAUACCGGUGGCGAAGGCGGCCCCCUGGACAAAGACUGACGCUCAGGUGCGAAAGCGUGGGGAGCAAACAGGAUUAGAUACCCUGGUAGUCCACGCCGUAAACGAUGUCGAUUUGGAGGUUGUGCCCUUGAGGCGUGGCUUCCGGAGCUAACGCGUUAAAUCGACCGCCUGGGGAGUACGGCCGCAAGGUUAAAACUCAAAUGAAUUGACGGGGGCCCGCACAAGCGGUGGAGCAUGUGGUUUAAUUCGAUGCAACGCGAAGAACCUUACCUGGUCUUGACAUCCACAGAACUUAGCAGAGAUGCUUUGGUGCCUUCGGGAACUGUGAGACAGGUGCUGCAUGGCUGUCGUCAGCUCGUGUUGUGAAAUGUUGGGUUAAGUCCCGCAACGAGCGCAACCCUUAUCCUUUGUUGCCAGCGGUUAGGCCGGGAACUCAAAGGAGACUGCCAGUGAUAAACUGGAGGAAGGUGGGGAUGACGUCAAGUCAUCAUGGCCCUUACGACCAGGGCUACACACGUGCUACAAUGGCGCAUACAAAGAGAAGCGACCUCGCGAGAGCAAGCGGACCUCAUAAAGUGCGUCGUAGUCCGGAUUGGAGUCUGCAACUCGACUCCAUGAAGUCGGAAUCGCUAGUAAUCGUAGAUCAGAAUGCUACGGUGAAUACGUUCCCGGGCCUUGUACACACCGCCCGUCACACCAUGGGAGUGGGUUGCAAAAGAAGUAGGUAGCUUAACCUUCGGGAGGGCGCUUACCACUUUGUGAUUCAUGACUGGGGUGAAGUCGUAACAAGGUAACCGUAGGGGAACCUGCGGUUGGAUCACCUCCUUACCUUAAAGAA
RNAcentral lists this ribosomal RNA (1550 nucleotides) under Mesorhizobium sp. Its description in RNAcentral is "bacterial SSU rRNA". It matches the Rfam family "Bacterial small subunit ribosomal RNA". The record is from RNAcentral. Lineage: Bacteria; Pseudomonadati; Pseudomonadota; Alphaproteobacteria; Hyphomicrobiales; Phyllobacteriaceae.